CGCGUAGGUGGUUCUGUAUGUCUACCGUGAAAGCGUACGGCUCAACCGUAUUUUGUCGGUAGAAACUGCAGGACUUGAGGCUGGGAGGGGCUGGUGGAAUUCCCUGUGUAGCGGUGAAAUGCGUAGAGAUGGGGGAGAACACUCGUGGCGAAGGCGGCCAGCUAGACCAGUUCUGACACUGAGGCGCGACAGCGUGGGGAGCAAACA
RNAcentral lists this ribosomal RNA (207 nucleotides) under uncultured bacterium. RNAcentral describes it as "partial 16S ribosomal RNA". It matches the Rfam family "Bacterial small subunit ribosomal RNA", at positions 568 to 774 of the family's 1533-position model. The record is from RNAcentral.